Molecule: long non-coding RNA, 2106 nt
Organism: Monomorium pharaonis (pharaoh ant)
Lineage: Eukaryota; Metazoa; Arthropoda; Insecta; Hymenoptera; Formicidae
Exons: 2
Source: RefSeq, a predicted model, not a curated record
AUUUUUCGCACGAUAUAUUUUUUAAUAAACAAGUUACUUGUUUACUAUAAAGAUAAAAAUUAAAAACUGUAAGUUUGUAUCCAAAUCAUGGAAUUGUUUUCAAAAGACAAAAUGAAAUUUUUUUAGAAUGAAACACACUGGUUAGCGCAGUAUUGUGAUACGGACUGAGUUUUCUCUCACAUGCGUUGUAAAUAUAGCAUCAAUAAAGUAUUGUUAUAGAUUAAAAGGUAUAUCAGUGAUCAUCUAUGUUCAUAAUUUUACAAAAAUUUUUGUAAUUUUGUUUUGACAAAAUUAACAAUUUGAAAAACCUUUUGUAUCGUAUAUCUGAUUUUAAUUUUUCAGACUUACCGAGAGUCAAAAGAAAGAACUACUAUCAAAGGAUUAUAAAGGCAACUCUAAACAUAGGAGUACCGCCCUUUCUUUAUUUUACUAAUCGGCAUGAACAUCCGGAUAUUGCCUGAUAUUCAUUUGAAAAACUUGUAGCAAAUACAUCGUUAGAGUCGUGAAGGCAGAAUAGGGAGAAGAGCAUUCUGCACAGACCAUGUGAGAAUUCCCGCAAGGGCAAAUGACCUACCAAGAGGAAACGCACCCGGCCGAAUCACAGACCUGAAGAUGGAGGUCAACUAUCUUGAGAGACAAAAAUCAGCCAAAAUCAGGAAAAAUAUAAAGCCGCGACUAAUAAGGACACGGCAUAAUUAUGUAAAGUGGGGUACGUCACUGUUUUCGCAAGAACGAUGAUCAUCACUUGCGUUGCGAGCGCAUCCUGAGCGGGAAAUAGGAGUGAAAACAAGAUAUCAAGGAUGCAGGAUUCCGGCAAUUCAACAAUAUCGAGAUCUGAGAGGAAAUGCAAAUUGAUGAGACAAACGUUAAAGUCUUUGUAAAGUCGAACAUUUAGAUCUAUUUGUGAAUACAGAAAUAAUGUUUUUACAUUAUUGCUCUCCGAUGCAUUUCACAAAUUUCUUUUGCAAUGUUUCUCCUUCUAGUCGCCACAUUGAGCAGAAAACUACGGUUUCUUUCUCAAAACUUAGAAAAAUGGGGAGUCAUUAAUUUAACUCUUUGAAGCACCAAAGCAACCACUGGAUAAAUUUUUUGACGGUACAUAAGGGUUUUCAGGACUGAUUACAAAUCUGGAGUCAAAAUUUCAAAAUUCAACAUAGUGGACCCAAUAUGGCAGGCAAAUUUAUAAAAAAAAUUUAAUUAAACUUGGUAUACGGAGGUUUUUGGAGGAUUUUAAUUACAAAUUAAAAGUCAAAAUUUUAACAUUCAAAAUGACGGAUCUAAUACGGCGAACGAAUUAAAACUCAAAUAUAUUAUUACUAAAAAACAUUUUUAUUUGCGAUUGCGGCAUGCAAAUAAUCAACUUUUAUUCACACGUAAUCCGUUUUUGGUUUAAAUUUUUACUUUAUAUAGGAACUUUUUUACGAUUUUUAUAGUGCUACCUAUGUUGUACUUUUUUAACAUUUUAAGCCGCCAUUUUGAAUAAAAGAUGUGAAAAUUUCCAAAUUCUGACUUCAAAUUUGAAUUUAGCGCAUCAAAUUACCUAUAAGAUACAACUUUCAGAGCACUAAAAUUUCGGUAUAUUUUUUAAUACUUUAAUUAAUACAUUCUCGGUAAUUCUGAAUACCAUGGUGCUCCAAAGGAUUAAAAAUAAGUAUUGCAAUAGUAAUGUUUUUUUACAAUUUUUUCUAAUAUAUUUCACAAAUUUCUUUUGCAAUAUUCCUUCUUUUAGCCACUAAAUUGACUAAGGCAUUUUGAAUAUCAAGUUUAGCUAGAUAACAUUUCAAAGAACAUGUUUAGAUUUACAUUUUGCGUUACAUUAAACUUGACAGUUUUGCCGUUAAAAACUAUUCUGGACUUGGUGUAAUCGAUUUCACGUGGAACGACGACUCUUAUACACAUCUUACAGAUUGUUCAUUCAAAUUAAACAUAUCUUAAUUAUCAUGACAUUAUGAAGUAUUAUUGAAUAUUAUUAUAUUGUAACAAUGUUGCAACAUUGUAUUGUAAUAUUUAAAAAAAUACUCUAUUGUUACUGCAAUGUUAUAACAAUUGCAGCAAUAUUUGCAGUUUUUUUGCAAUAUUAAAAUAAAUUAUUUUUUGCAAUGUUUC